Small nuclear RNA from Microplitis demolitor, 106 nucleotides. NCBI's taxonomy places the organism in Eukaryota, Metazoa, Arthropoda, Insecta, Hymenoptera, Braconidae. The record is from RefSeq and is a predicted model, not a curated record.
GUGUAGUAUGAAAGGAGAGAUGUUUAGCACUCCCCUAGACAAGGACGGAAUACACAUAAAUGGUAAUGGCACUGUCGCUUUCAGCGACAAAUUACCACAAAUUUUU